This 351-nucleotide long non-coding RNA is filed under the name Astyanax mexicanus (Mexican tetra). RNAcentral describes it as "lncRNA (ENSAMXG00005016938.1)". The record is from RNAcentral. Lineage: Eukaryota; Metazoa; Chordata; Actinopteri; Characiformes; Acestrorhamphidae.
CGCGCGCGCGGUGUGUGUUUAUUUACCCCGCGGGUUAAACUGUCACUCUGAGGGUCUCCUACCUGUUUACCCGGCUCCUCCUGGGCUGGGGACGGGGUGCCCACUCCGGACGAUGCCGUAGGAGAAGCCAUGAGGCUGAGUCACUUACUUCUGUGUUGAUAUACGCAAAGCAAUUGAGCCGCAAGGAAAUUCAGAGUCAGGAAUGCUGUGGGGGUGCUGCUGGACAGUCAGGCAGACAGACGAGAACGAGAGACACCUAAGAGAACUGUGUAACAGUUGUGUCAGAUGUCUGAAUGCAUCGAGUGUGACUGGGCUGGCCUACUUUUUAUCCCGCUCCUGCUAUGAUUCAAC